CUAGAUAUAUAAAUAUAAAUAAAAAAAUAAAAUAAAAAUUUUAUAUUAUAUGUUUUCAAAUUCGAAUUUUUUUAUAAUUUUUUUUUUGAAAUUUUUUUUUUUUGAAAUUUUUAUUUAUUUUUUGAAAUUUUCUUUUUGUAAUUCGAAAAUACUUUUUGAAACUAUUUUUCAAAUUUUUAUUUUCAAAUUUUUAAUAUUUAUUUUUUAUUUUAUAAAAUUUUAAACUUC
This 228-nucleotide long non-coding RNA is filed under the name Brassica napus (rape). RNAcentral describes it as "long non-coding RNA (BNAP_LNC012876)". The record is from RNAcentral. Lineage: Eukaryota; Viridiplantae; Streptophyta; Magnoliopsida; Brassicales; Brassicaceae.